Molecule: ribosomal RNA, 460 nt
Filed under: uncultured bacterium
Lineage: Bacteria
Description: partial 16S ribosomal RNA
Rfam family: Bacterial small subunit ribosomal RNA
Source: RNAcentral
CCUACGGGUGGCUGCAGUGAGGAAUAUUGGUCAAUGGGCGCGAGUCUGAACCAGCCAAGUAGCGUGAAGGAUGACUGCCCUACGGGUUGUAAACUUCUUUUAUAAAGGAAUAAAGUGAGGCACGUGUGCCUUUUUAUAUGUACUUUAUGAAUAAGGAUCGGCUAACUCCGUGCCAGCAGCCGCGGUAAUACGGAGGAUCCGAGCGUUAUCCGGAUUUAUUGGGUUUAAAGGGAGCGUAGAUGGGUUGUUAAGUCAGGUGUGAAAGUGUGCGGCUCAACCGUAAAAUGGCAAUUGAUACUGGCAGUCGUGAGUACAGGUGAGGUAGGCGGAAUGCGUGGUGUAGCGGUGAAAUGCGUAGAUAUCACGAAGAACUCCGAUGGCGAAGGCAGCUUACUAAACUGCCACUGACAUUGAUGCUCGAAAGUGUGGGUAUCAAACAGGAUUAGAUACCCGGGUAGUC